Brassica oleracea var. oleracea is the source of this 225-nucleotide long non-coding RNA. RefSeq lists it as uncharacterized. Lineage: Eukaryota; Viridiplantae; Streptophyta; Magnoliopsida; Brassicales; Brassicaceae. The transcript has 3 exons. The record is from RefSeq and is a predicted model, not a curated record.
UCAAGCACAAGGCCGUCAAGACAGAUCUUUUGGGAGUCCGUUUCAACGUUAAGGCUACUCUUCAAGGGAACACCUUCAAGAUCCGAGUUCCCUUCCCAAGACGCGCACAAGACACAGAAAGGAUGUGAAGACACUGAUAGCGGAAAUGCUUCAAGCUGCCAAGUCUGUUUCCAAUUAGUUUUUGCUGAAACAAAGAUUGGAAAAGCGUCCUCCUGUCUUUCUAAA